CCGCGGUGAUACGGAGGGUGCAAGCGUUAAUCGGAAUUACUGGGCGUAAAGCGCACGCAGGCGGUUUGUUAAGUCAGAUGUGAAAUCCCCGCGCUUAACGUGGGAACUGCAUUUGAAACUGGCAAGCUAGAGUCUUGUAGAGGGGGGUAGAAUUCCAGGUGUAGCGGUGAAAUGCGUAGAGAUCUGGAGGAAUACCGGUGGCGAAGGCGGCCCCCUGGACAAAGACUGACGCUCAGGUGCGAAAGCGUAGGGAGCAAACAGGAUUAGAUACCCUGGUAGUCCACGCUGUAAACGAUGUCGACUUGGAGGUUGUGCCCUUGAGGCGUGGCUUCCGGAGCUAACGCGUUAAGUCGACCGCCUGGGGAGUACGGCCGCAAGGUUAAAACUCAAAUGAAUUGACGGGGGCCCGCACAAGCGGUGGAGCAUGUGGUUUAAUUCGAUGCAACGCGAAGAACCUUACCUACUCUUGACAUCCAGAGAAUUCGCUAGAGAUAGCUUAGUGCCUUCGGGAACUCUGAGACAGGUGCUGCAUGGCUGUCGUCAGCUCGUGUUGUGAAAUGUUGGGUUAAGUCCCGCAACGAGCGCAACCCUUAUCCUUUGUUGCCAGCACGUAAUGGUGGGAACUCAAAGGAGACUGCCGGUGAUAAACCGGAGGAAGGUGGGGAUGACGUCAAGUCAUCAUGGCCCUUACGAGUAGGGCUACACACGUGCUACAAUGGCGUAUACAAAGAGAAGCGAACUCGCGAGAGCAAGCGGACCUCAUAAAGUACGUCGUAGUCCGGAUCGGAGUCUGCAACUCGACUCCGUGAAGUCGGAAUCGCUAGUAAUCGUAGAUCAGAAUGCUACGGUGAAUACGUUCCCGGGCCUUGUACACACCGCCCGUCACACCAUGGGAGUGGGUUGCAAAAGAAGUAGGUAGCUUAACCUUCGGGAGGGCGCUUACCACUUUGU
This 951-nucleotide ribosomal RNA is filed under the name uncultured bacterium. RNAcentral's name for it is "bacterial SSU rRNA". It matches the Rfam family "Bacterial small subunit ribosomal RNA", at positions 515 to 1465 of the family's 1533-position model. The record is from RNAcentral.